RNAcentral lists this ribosomal RNA (250 nucleotides) under uncultured bacterium. RNAcentral describes it as "partial 16S ribosomal RNA". It matches the Rfam family "Bacterial small subunit ribosomal RNA", at positions 779 to 1034 of the family's 1533-position model. The record is from RNAcentral.
UAGAUACCCUGGUAGUCCACGCUGUAAACGAUGAGUGCUAGGUAUCGGAAUAAUUCGGUGCCGCAGUUAACACAUUAAGCACUCCGCCUGGGGAGUACGUGCGCAAGCAUGAAACUCAAAGGAAUUGACGGGGACCCGCACAAGCAGCGGAGCAUGUGGUUUAAUUCGAAGCAACGCGAAGAACCUUACCAGGGCUUGACAUAUAGAGGACCUACUUAGAGAUAAGUACUCUUCUUCGGAAGCCUCUAUA